UACAUAGGGUGCAAGCGUUGUCCGGAAUUAUUGGGCGUAAAGAGCUCGUAGGUGGUUCGUCACGUCGGAUGUGGAAACUCUGGGGCUUAACCCCAGACCUGCAUUCGAUACGGGCGAGCUUGAGUAUGGUAGGGGGAGUCUGGAAUUCCUGGUGUAGCGGUGGAAUGCGCAGAUAUCAGGAGGAACACCAAUGGCGAAGGCAGGUCUCUGGGCCAAUACUGACACUGGAGGAAGCGGAAAAGUCUGGGGGAGCGAAACAGGA
Molecule: ribosomal RNA, 262 nt
Filed under: uncultured bacterium
Lineage: Bacteria
Description: partial 16S ribosomal RNA
Rfam family: Bacterial small subunit ribosomal RNA
Source: RNAcentral